UACUAGAGUAGCACUCGCAUAUCAAUAAGCGGAGGAAAAGAAACUAACAAGGAUUCCCCUAGUAACGGCGAGUGAAGCGGGAAGAGCUCAAAUUUGAAAUCUUAAAGGGUUUCCCUUUACGAAUUGUAGUUUAAAGAAGUGUUUUCUGUUGAGGUUUUGGUAAAAGUUCUUUGGAAUAGGACAUCAUAGAGGGUGAGAACCCCGUAUUUGACCUUUACUUUCAACUUUGUGAUACACUUUCAAAGAGUCGGAUUGUUUGGGAAUGCAGUCCAAAAUGGGUGGUAAAUUUCAUCUAAAGCUAAAUAUUGGCGAGAGACCGAUAGCGAACAAGUACCGUGAGGGAAAGAUGAAAAGAACUUUGAAAAGAGAGUUAAACAGUACGUGAAAUUGUCAAAAGGGAAGCGUUUGACACCAGUGUUGUUUUUCUGAAAAUCAAUUAAAGAACUGUUUAUGCUAAGCUGUUUAGACUUUAUCAGCUAUCUGUUUAGUUUUAGGCUUUUCUUUAAUGCACUUUUCAGUUAACAAGUCAACAUCAAUUUCUUUUGCUGUAAAAAAGCUUGAGGAAGGUGGCUUGAGAUUCGUCUUAAGUGUUUAUAGCCUCUUGCCUAUGCAGUCGGAGAGAUUGAGGUCUGCAGCGUAGAUCCUUCGGGGCUAAAUGCAUUUGUGCUAAGUUAUAGCAUUUUAUAGACAACUUGUUGACUAUGAUUUGUCUUGUAGCUUACUCGCUUAUGUUAUUUUACCUACGCUUAGGAUGUUGAGCGCAUGUCUCUCUCU
This 774-nucleotide ribosomal RNA is filed under the name uncultured Neocallimastigales. Its description in RNAcentral is "partial large subunit ribosomal RNA". It matches the Rfam family "Eukaryotic large subunit ribosomal RNA", at positions 20 to 616 of the family's 3401-position model. Lineage: Eukaryota; Fungi; Neocallimastigomycota; Neocallimastigomycetes; Neocallimastigales. The record is from RNAcentral.